AUCCGAGGAGCCACUAAAUCCAAUCGGAUCAGCCAGGCCAUUCCCAUCUACGGAUUUGGAAUCCUACUCUACAUCCUCUUCAUCAUAUUCUAGAUAAGCUGCACAAUGUCCACCCUAGACUGGCUCAGUCAAUUGGAUAGACAAACUAUUUAGAGGCAGGAAUGUAGAAGAUGUAGACUAUUACAGUUUUUAACAGCAUCCAUGUAAUACCUGUACUGGCUAGGAGUCCAGUGCAUCCAGUACAUUACAAGGUGUGCAUACCAUAAAUGCACUGUUGUAUUCACAGAUGACAACUAGGCCUAAAGGAAAAAGUACUAAACUGCAGAUGAUGAGCUGGCCCAGCUUCAGGAGAAGCUGCUGGAGACAGAGGGUGAAGUAGAGGAUCGUCUCCAGAAGGAGCAGCACUCCUAACAGCACGACUAGCAGCAAGGUUAGAAGAGCAUCCAAGCAGGAGAAGUUACUGCGGAAGCUGAGUAAGAUCAGCCGGGUGAUGCAGGAGGUACGACUGAUGGAGGGGGCCACACCUGAGAUGGUGCCCUACGCUGCUGACUGAGAGGGCUACCCUGAGGAGACCUACCCCCAGUAUAAGGAGCCCGGAGGCAGGCGCAGCGGCAGUUAUGACCCCAUCACCAUCCUGGAGGAGCCUGCUGCUGACUCAGAUACCCACUGCCGAGGCCCUGGCUGAGGAGGUGGUGGAUGAGGAGGUAGAAGAGGUCACAGAGGAGGAGGAGGAGGAGCAGUAGCUCUGCCCGCCCCCACCUCCUGAAGGAGGAAUGGAAGAAACGGGUAGUAGUCCCACCAGAGGUAAAAAGCUCAAUCAGAUUCAGCGACCACAAAGAUGUGUUUCACUACCCUAAGCAGGAUACGGUCUAUGAAUAUAGGUAUGAAGAGGAGAAGGAAGAGGGGCAAGUGGAUGAGACAGAGGAAGAGGGAGUAGUAGGUGAUGAAGACCCACUGAUGGAGGCCGAGUCUCUCAGUUUUAGUUGUGAUGUCUGUAGUAAUCCAGAAGCAGAAGAAGAGAUGGAAGAAGAGUACAUUCUACUGUCUCAGUCUGAAGAGACAGACAGCUUCACCCCACCAGAUAGGUCUGGGGAGCUGGGGAUUCUCUCAGGUUGAGGAACAGGA
This is a long non-coding RNA of Oncorhynchus tshawytscha (Chinook salmon), 1125 nucleotides long. The record is from Ensembl. NCBI's taxonomy places the organism in Eukaryota, Metazoa, Chordata, Actinopteri, Salmoniformes, Salmonidae.